Molecule: ribosomal RNA, 253 nt
Filed under: uncultured bacterium
Lineage: Bacteria
Description: partial 16S ribosomal RNA
Rfam family: Bacterial small subunit ribosomal RNA
Source: RNAcentral
UACAGAGGGUGCGAGCGUUGUUCGGAAUUAUUGGGCGUAAAGGGCGCGUAGGCGGCGCGGUAAGUCACCUGUGAAAUCUCCUGGCUCAACUGGGAGCUUGCAGGCGAAACUGCCGUGCUGGAGUGUGGGAGAGGUGCGUGGAAUUCCUGGUGUAGCGGUGAAAUGCGCAGAUAUCAGGAAGAACACCCGUGGCGAAAGCGGCUCUCUGGAACGGUACUGACGCUGAGACGCGAAAGCGUGGGGAGCGAACAGG